Molecule: ribosomal RNA, 429 nt
Filed under: Bacteroidota bacterium
Lineage: Bacteria; Pseudomonadati; Bacteroidota
Description: Bacteroidetes bacterium partial 16S ribosomal RNA
Rfam family: Bacterial small subunit ribosomal RNA
Source: RNAcentral
UAGGGAAUCUUCGGCAAUGGGGGGAACCCUGACCGAGCAACGCCGCGUGAGUGAAGAAGGUUUUCGGAUCGUAAAGCUCUGUUGUUAAGGAAGAACGAGUGUGAGAAUGGAAAGUUCAUACUGUGACGGUACUUAACCAGAAAGGGACGGCUAACUACGUGCCAGCAGCCGCGGUAAUACGUAGGUCCCGAGCGUUGUCCGGAUUUAUUGGGCGUAAAGCGAGCGCAGGCGGUUAGAUAAGUCUGAAGUUAAAGGCAGUGGCUCAACCAUUGUAGGCUUUGGAAACUGUUUAACUUGAGUGCAGAAGGGGAGAGUGGAAUUCCAUGUGUAGCGGUGAAAUGCGUAGAUAUAUGGAGGAACACCGGUGGCGAAAGCGGCUCUCUGGUCUGUAACUGACGCGGAGGCUCGGAAGCGUGGGGAGCGAACAGG